This 503-nucleotide ribosomal RNA is filed under the name uncultured bacterium. Its description in RNAcentral is "partial 16S ribosomal RNA". It matches the Rfam family "Bacterial small subunit ribosomal RNA", at positions 30 to 523 of the family's 1533-position model. The record is from RNAcentral.
AUUGAACGCUAGCGGCAGGCUUAACACAUGCAAGUCGAGCGGAGUGAUGGUGCUUGCACUAUCACUUAGCGGCGGACGGGUGAGUAAUGCUUAGGAAUCUGCCUAUUAGUGGUGGACAACAUCUCGUAAGGGAUGCUAAUACCGCAUACGUCCUACGGGAGAAAGCAGGGGAUCACUUGUGACCUUGCGCUAAUAGAUGAGCCUAAGUCGGAUUAGCUAGUUGGUGGGGUAAAGGCCUACCAAGGCGACGAUCUGUAGCGGGUCUGAGAGGAUGAGCCGCCACACUGGGACUGGGACACGGCCCAGACUCCUACGGGAGGCAGCAGUGGGGAAUAUUGGACAAUGGGGGGAACCCUGAUCCAGCCAUGCCGCGUGUGUGAAGAAGGCCUUAUGGUUGUAAAGCACUUUAAGCGAGGAGGAGGCUACUUUAGUUAAUACCUAGAGAUAGUGGACGUUACUCGCAGAAUAAGCACCGGCUAACUCUGUGCCAGCCGCCGCCGCCG